This 424-nucleotide ribosomal RNA is filed under the name uncultured bacterium. Its description in RNAcentral is "bacterial SSU rRNA". It matches the Rfam family "Bacterial small subunit ribosomal RNA", at positions 202 to 622 of the family's 1533-position model. The record is from RNAcentral.
UAAGACCUCGCGUUAUUGGAGCGGCCGAUAUCUGAUUAGCUAGUUGGUGGGGUAAAGGCCUACCAAGGCGACGAUCAGUAGCUGGUCUGAGAGGACGACCAGCCACACUGGGACUGAGACACGGCCCAGACUCCUACGGGAGGCAGCAGUGGGGAAUUUUGGACAAUGGGCGAAAGCCUGAUCCAGCCAUGCCGCGUGAGUGAAGAAGGCCUUCGGGUUGUAAAGCUCUUUCGCAAGGAAAGAAAUCCUAUCCACUAAUACUGGGCGGGGAUGACGGUACCUUGGUAAGAAGCACCGGCUAACUACGUGCCAGCAGCCGCGGUAAUACGUAGGGUGCGAGCGUUAAUCGGAAUUACUGGGCGUAAAGCGAGCGCAGGCGGUUUUGUAAGUCAGAUGUGAAAUCCCCGGGCUCAACCUGGGAACU